This 233-nucleotide ribosomal RNA is filed under the name uncultured bacterium. RNAcentral describes it as "partial 16S ribosomal RNA". It matches the Rfam family "Bacterial small subunit ribosomal RNA", at positions 99 to 334 of the family's 1533-position model. The record is from RNAcentral.
CGCACGGGUGAGUAAUAUAUAGUUAACCUGCCCUAGAGAAGGGGAUAACGUUUGGAAACGGACGCUAACACCCUAUAUGCCUUUAAUACAUAAGUAUGCAAGGGAAACAUUUAUGGCUCUAGGAUGGGACUGUACGGUAUCAAUUAGUUGGUGAGGUAAUGGCUCACCAAGACAAUGACACCUAACUGGUUUGAGGGGAUGAUCAGUCACACUGGAACUGAGACACGGUCCAG